UGUAAGCUCCUCUCGAUUGUUCGUCUAAACCUCCUUUUCUCACUCAGUCCGAUGAUGGAAUAACUUGUCCCGUGUCUGAAACUGCUCGCAUAACGGUACCUGGCGUUUAUCCUGCGGUUUGAAGGAAACGCACUGCAAGCCUGUUACUGGACCUCAAUAUGCCCAUCAAGCUGUGCAUUUUCGGUUUACGUUUACCACAUAAGAAUUCAUAAAUUCCUGUGGUGGAAUUCUUCCUGAUGGGCUUAUGUACAGCUGCGAUGUGGUGGUGAGUCAUCAGCGGGGGUGGGGACAUGCCACUGACCCAAGUACCUGAAUGCACAAAGUGUCCCCCAGUCCAUACCAGGAUUUCUAGUGAGCUCAGAAGAGGAAGAGCAGAAGAGCUCAGUGUUGGGCUCAUCAGAGAAGAGAGUGCUGUUGCUGGCACUUGUGUCUGCUUUUUGAUAUUGUGAUUGCUUGCAUUUGUGUGUAUGACUUUGGAUUCUCCUCUUGACAUAUGGUUGGUUCGCUUUGUCCCUUAUUGGUUUGGUUGCUGGUUAUUAUAUGUCUCAUGUAUAUAAUGUCCUGGAUAUGGUUACACACGGGUGGUGGGGAGUGGCUGCCAGUUUGUUUGGGUGUGGAUUUAUGUGUUUAUAUCAGUAUAGUCGGUGUAGUCAUUGUAUGUUUCUUUUUGUAGCUUAGUCGGUUGUCUUUUUGUUUCUAGUGUGGCUUUGUGUGUUAUGUUAGCCUGAGCCACCCCUGUGCUAUUGCACCAGAUUCUUGAAUAUUUCUGUAUCUGAACAUCAAAACUUGUAAAUACACUUGACCACAACCUGUUUGUCUCAUUUGUAUUUCAUUA
Electrophorus electricus (electric eel) is the source of this 835-nucleotide non-coding RNA. NCBI's taxonomy places the organism in Eukaryota, Metazoa, Chordata, Actinopteri, Gymnotiformes, Gymnotidae. The record is from RefSeq and is a predicted model, not a curated record.